Molecule: long non-coding RNA, 4291 nt
Organism: Takifugu rubripes (torafugu)
Lineage: Eukaryota; Metazoa; Chordata; Actinopteri; Tetraodontiformes; Tetraodontidae
Source: Ensembl
CGGUACAGUCAAAAAAAAAAAAAAACAAGCAGUCAAACAUCAAGUUCAACAACAACAAGUCCAUCCACAACUUCUGCAACUACAUCGUCACCAACCACAUCAGCAACAACCAGUCAAAUAUCAAGUUCAACAUCAACAAGUCCAUCCACAACUUUUGCAACUACAUCGUCACCAACCACAUCAGCAACAACCAGUCAAAUAUCAAGUUCAACAUCAACAAGUCCAUCCACAACUUCUGCAACUACAUCGUCACCAACAUCAGCAACAAGCAGUCCAUCCACAACUUCUGCAACUACAUCAUCACCAACCACAUCAGCAACAACCAGUCAAACAUCAAGUUCAACAACAAGUCCAUCCACAACUUCUGCAACUACAUCGUCACCAACAACUUCAGCAACAAGCAGUCAAACAUCAAGUUCAACAGCAAGUCCAUCCACAACUUCUGCAACUACAUCAUCACCAACCACAUCAGCAACAACCAGUCAAACAUCAAGUUCAACAUCAACAAGUCCAUCCACAACUUCUGCAACUACAUCAUCACCAACCACAUCAGCCACAACCAGUCAAACAUCAAGUUCAACAACAAGUCCAUCCACAACUUCUGCGACUACAUCGUCACCAACAACAUCAGCAACAAGCAGUCAAACAUCAAGUUCAACAGCAAGUCCAUCCACAACUUCUGCAACUACAUCGUCACCAACCACAUCAGCAACAACCAGUCAAAUAUCAAGUUCAACAUCAACAAGUCCAUCCACAACUUCUGCAACUACAUCGUCACCAACAUCAGCAACAAGCAGUCCAUCCACAACUUCUGCAACUACAUCAUCACCAACCACAUCAGCAACAACCAGUCAAACAUCAAGUUCAACAUCAACAAGUCCAUCCACAACUUCUGCAACUACGUCAUCACCAACCACAUCAGCCACAACCAGUCAAACAUCAAUUACAACAGCAACAAGUCCCUCCACAACUUCUGCAUCUACAUCGUCACCAACCACAUCAGCAACAACCAGUCAAAUAUCAAGUUCAACAUCAACAAGUCCAUCCAGAACUUUUGCAACUACAUCGUCACCAACCACAUCAGCAACAACCAGUCAAAUAUCAAGUUCAACAUCAACAAGUCCAUCCACAACUUCUGCAACUACAUCGUCACCAACAUCAGCAACAAGCAGUCAAACAUCAAGUUCAACAACAACAAGUCCAUCCACAACUUCUGCAACUACAUCAUCACCAACCACAUCAGCAACAACCAGUCAAACAUCAAGUUCAACAACAAGUCCAUCCACAACUUCUGCGACUACAUCGCCACCAACCACAUCAGCCACAACCAGUCAAACAUCAAUUACAACAGCAACAAGUCCCUCCACAACUUCUGCAUCUACAUCAUCACCAACCACAUCAGCAACAACCAGUCAAACAUCAAGUUCAACAUCAACAAGUCCAUCCACAACUUCUGUAACUACAUCGUCACCAACCACAUCAGCAACAACUAGUCAAACAUCAAGUUCAACAUCAACAAGUCCAUCCAUAUCUUCUGCAACUACAUCAUCACCAACCACAUCAGCCACAACCAGUCAAACAUCAAGUUCAACAGCAACAAGUGCAUCCACAACUUCUGCAACUACGUCGUCACCAACCACAUCAGCAACAAGUCAAACGUCUAGUUCAACAUUAACAAGUCCAUCCACAACUUCUGCAACAACAUCGUCACCAACCACAUCAGCAACAACCAGUCAAACAACUAGUUCAACAUCAACAAGUCCAUCCACAACUUCUGCAACAACAUCGUCACCAACCACAUCAGCAACAACCAGUCAAACAUCAAGUACAACAGCAACAAGUCCCUCCACAACUUCUGCAUCUACAUCGUCACCAACCACAUCAGCAACAACCAGUCAAACAUCAAGUUCAACAUCAACAAGUCCAUCCACAACUUCUGCAACUACAACGUCACCAACCACAUCAGCAACAACCAGUCAAACAUCAAGUUCUACAACAACAGGUCCAUCCACAACUUCAGCAACUACAUCGUCACCAACCACAUCAGCAACAUCCAGUCAAACAUCAAGUUCAACCUCAACAAGUCCCUCCACAACUUCUGCAACUACAUCGUCACCAACCACAUCAGCAACAACCAGUCAAACAUCAAGUUCUACAGCAACAAGUCCAUCCACAACCUCUGCAACUACAUCGUCACCAACCACAUCAGCAACAACCAGUCAAACAUCAAGUUCAACAGCAACAAGUCCAUCCACAACUUCUGCAACUACAUCGUCAGCAACCACAUCAGCAAUAACCAGUCAAACAUCAAGUUCUACAACAAGUCCCUCCACAACUUCUGCAACUACAUCGUCACCAACCACAUCAGCAACAACCAGUCAAACAACUAGUUCAACAGCAACAAGUCCAUCCACAACUUCUGCAGCUACAUCGUCACCAACCACAUCAGCAACAACCAGUCAAACAUCAAGUUCAACAUCAACAAGUCCAUCCACAACUUCUGCAACUACAUCGUCACCAACCACAUCAGCCACAACCAGUCAAACAACUAGUUCAACAUCCACAACUUCUGCAACUACAUCGUCACCAACCACAUCAGCCACAACCAGUCAAACAUCAAGUACAACAGCAACAAGUCCCUCCACAACUUCUGCAUCUACAUCAUCACCAACCACAUCAGCAACAACCAGUCAAACAUCAAGUUCAACAACAACAAGUCCAUCCACAUCUACUGCAGCUACAUCGUCACCAACCACAUCAGCAACAACCAGUCAAACAUCAAUUUCAACAUCAACAAGUCCAUCCACAACUUCUGCAACUACAUCAUCACCAACAACAUCAGCAACAACCAGUCAAACAUCAAGUUCAACAUCAACAAGUUCAUCCACAACUUCUGCAACUACAUCGUCACCAACCACAUCAGCAACAACCAGUCAAACAUCAAGUUCAACAUCAACAAGUCCAUCCACAACUUCUGCAACUACAUCGUCACCAACCACAUCAGCAACAACCAGUCAAACAUCAAGUUCAACAUCAACAAGUCCAUCCACAACUUCUGCAACUACAUCGUCACCAACCACAUCAGCAACAACCAGUCAAACAUCAAGUUCAACAACAAGUCCAUCCACAACUUCUGCAACUACAUCGUCACCAACCACAUCAGUAACAACCAGUCAAACAUCUAGUUCAACAUCCACAAGUCCAUCCACAACAUCUGCAACUACAUCAGCAACAACCAGUCAAACAUCUAGUUCAACAUCCACAAGUCCAUCCACAACUUCUGCAACUACAUCGUCACCAACCACAUCAGCAACUGCAGGUGUUCAGCCAAUCUAUAUUGUUUCAGCAACUUUACCUCAAGAGACUUUUCGAGAAAAACUCACUAACCCAAACAGCACAACAUACAAAGAACUUGAAAGUCGAGUAAUAGACACGUGUACACCUAUCUACACAAGAAAAUAUGGAAAGAGAUUUGUCCGCUGCUUUGUGAAACAAUUCCGCCGUGCUGUGCGUCUACAAGUACGAGAAGAUGCAACUGCAGCUGAUAUUGGGGUUGUGCUCCGCAACAAUAUCCCCAUUUCUGACCUCCCAAAUAAUGACGAAGUUGCUGAAACUUUAGCAAUUGCAGCAAGUAGCAAUGAGACCUUAAGUGUGGCUCUGUCCGCAUCCUCAAUCCAAACUAUAUCUGGUCCAGUUCCUUUAACUACUGAGCCUGCAACUACAACAACCACAUCAAGUUCAACAACAACAAGUCCAUCCACAACUUCUGCAACUACAUCAUCACCAACCACAUCAGCAACAACCAGUCAAACAUCAAGUUCAACAACAAGUCCAUCCACAACUUCUGCAACUACAUCGUCACCAACAACAUCAGCAACAACCAGUCAAACAUCUAGUUCAACAUCCACAAGUCCAUCCACAACUUCUGCAACUACAUCGUCACCAACCACAUCAGCAACUUCAGGUGUUGAGCCAAUCUAUAUUGUUUCAGCAACUUUACCUCAAGAGACUUUUCGAGAAGAACUCACUAACCCAAACAGCACAACAUACAAAGAACUUGAACGUCGAGUAAUAGACACGGUAUGUUGACCUUUGUAUACAAUUCUUUCCAUUAUUGACUUUUAGAAUUUCGAUUUAAGAAAAGUAUACACAAUUAAGUCCAUUCAAAUCAGUUGUUAAAUUUAAUAAUAUUAAUUAGUUGGUAGUUGAAUUUAAUCAAUUUGGAUCCAAAUUGAAUCCAAGUCCGUCGAAGUCCAAGUUGUAAUUCAGUCCUACACCAGUGCAAACCUUG